This 200-nucleotide long non-coding RNA is filed under the name Olea europaea (common olive). Its description in RNAcentral is "long non-coding RNA (OEUR_LNC014184)". The record is from RNAcentral. Lineage: Eukaryota; Viridiplantae; Streptophyta; Magnoliopsida; Lamiales; Oleaceae.
GGAAGAAUUGUGGGAUGGCAAUUUAAUGGUUGGCUGAUAUUGGGGAGUAUGUGGAGGAUCAUAAUGUGGCAAAUGACAGGUUUGAAAAAGGUAGUAAAGUAUGUUCAGGAAUUGGAGGCGGGUGAGGAAAAGGGUCAUCUCAUUGGAGGUCUUCUUGAGGUGGCUUUGGAGAGCUUGGGGAUGAGUUUCACCAACUUUUG